UACGGAGGGGGCUAGCGUUAUUCGGAAUCACUGGGCGUAAAGCGCACGCAGGCGGAUCGAUAAGUCGGGGGUGAAAGCCCGGGGCUCAACCUCGGAAUUGCCUUCGAUACUGUCGGUCUCGAGUCCGGGAGAGGUGAGUGGAAUUCCUAGUGUAGAGGUGAAAUUCGUAGAUAUUAGGAAGAACACCAGUGGCGAAGGCGGGUCACUGGGCCGGUACUGACGCUCAGGUGCGAAAGCGUGGGGAGCAAACAGG
This 253-nucleotide ribosomal RNA is filed under the name uncultured bacterium. RNAcentral describes it as "partial 16S ribosomal RNA". It matches the Rfam family "Bacterial small subunit ribosomal RNA", at positions 524 to 776 of the family's 1533-position model. The record is from RNAcentral.